GAAGAUCAUCCACAUUAGGCCUGAAGUUGAAGGUGAGGUUGAGAUAGGCUGCCAAGCAGUGGAUGGAAACCCUCCCCGCCAAGAGAUAGAGAUGGUUUGGAUCAGCUCUCAGGGUUUGGUAGCAGGUGCUUGAGGAAGUGCUACUGCAGGUCACCUUUAAAAGGGACUAGCUGUCAGACAUAGGACCCACAGCACCGGCCUGCCUGAAAAUAGGGUACCUGCUUUUCUUCUUUCUUGUAGAUGAGCCCAUUAGAGUCCUCUAAUGCCUGUCAUGGGGUAAGAAGAUUGAGACUCAGAAAUAACAAAGACUCAAUCACCAAUAGCAGUAAAAAUACUGAUGAAAGGCAAAACCACGGCAAUCUGCCCCAAACUUGGACAAGCAUGAGCUCCUCCCAUGAACCUGUCUGCACAUCUCUCUGUCCUUGCCUAUGGAGCAUUCUUGGAAGUCACUCCCUGUAACUUUAUUCCCCUAAGAGAAUUUCAAGAGGUUAUCAUCAUCAAAGCCUCAUCCAUUUGGUAGGCAAAAAUGCAAAAGCUCAGCAAAGUCUUCCUGGAUGCCCCCUUUUAUUCCCAUGACAAAGCCUAAGGUUGAUUCAGUGCUGAGCACCUGCAGACCCAGAUUCUGUAAAAUCACAUAAGACCGGGCAAAUUCCAGCCUCAGGUCUUACAGAUUCCCCUAGUGUUGGUUAGUAAAAAACAAUCAUAAAAUUUGUUAGCCAAUUGACUGGGUCCUAGUCACCAUAAAUACUUUCAACUCUGAGAACAAAGCUUCUUCACAGAGUCAAGAAAAAGAUUUAUGUAAGAAAAAAAUUUUCAGUUCCUCUAUGGACUGACAGCAUCUCAGUUGUACCCUUUCCAAGUUCCUGACCUUCAAAAUUCAUCUACUUGCCCAAAUGAAUGUUGUUUUAUGCUCUAAAUUUGUGCAAUAAUUCAUUGUACAGCCAUAGCAAAGCGGUAUUCUUCAACCUCAGUUUUCUCAUCUGUAAAAUGGAGUCUUUGUUGAUACAUGUCUAGUAAAUGAUUUAUGAACAAUAAAUGAUUCUUUUGCACUUGCUACACUGUAAGCACUCAAAUACCAGAGAUCACGUUUGCUUGUUUUACUUAAUGGAAUAAC
RNAcentral lists this long non-coding RNA (1114 nucleotides) under Cavia porcellus (domestic guinea pig). RNAcentral's name for it is "lncRNA (ENSCPOG00000032656.1)". Lineage: Eukaryota; Metazoa; Chordata; Mammalia; Rodentia; Caviidae. The record is from RNAcentral.